UACCAACCCGAUGCAAACUGCGAAUACCGGAGAAUGUUAUCACGGGAGACACACGGCGGGUGCUAACGUCCGUCGUGAAGAGGGAAACAACCCAGACCGCCAGCUAAGGUCCCAAAGUCAUGGUUAAGUGGGAAACGAUGUGGGAAGGCCCAGACAGCCAGGAUGUUGGCUUAGAAGCAGCCAUCAUUUAAAGAAAGCGUAAUAGCUCACUGGUCGAGUCGGCCUGCGCGGAAGAUGUAACGGGGCUAAACCAUGCACCGAAGCUGCGGCAGCGACACUCAGGUGUUGUUGGGUAGGGGAGCGUUCUGUAAGCCUGCGAAGGUGGCCUGUGAGGGUUGCUGGAGGUAUCAGAAGUGCGAAUGCUGACAUAAGUAACGAUAAAGCGGGUGAAAAGCCCGCUCGCCGGAAGACCAAGGGUUCCUGUCCAACGUUAAUCGGGGCAGGGUGAGUCGACCCCUAAGGCGAGGCCGAAAGGCGUAGUCGAUGGGAAACGGGUUAAUAUUCCCGUACUUGGUGUUACUGCGAAGGGGGGACGGAGAAGGCUAUGUUGGCCGGGCGACGGUUGUCCCGGUUUAAGCGUGUAGGUGUGUGUUCCAGGUAAAUCCGGUUCACUUUAACACUGAGGCGUGAUGACGAGGCACUACGGUGCUGAAGCAACAAAUGCCCUGCUUCCAGGAAAAGCCUCUAAGCAUCAGGUAACAUCAAAUCGUACCCCAAACCGACACAGGUGGUCAGGUAGAGAAUACCAAGGCGCUUGAGAGAACUCGGGUGAAGGAACUAGGCAAAAUGGUGCCGUAACUUCGGGAGAAGGCACGCUGACACGUAGGUGAAGUGAUUUACUCAUGGAGCUGAAGUCAGUCGAAGAUACCAGCUGGCUGCAACUGUUUAUUAAAAACACAGCACUGUGCAAACACGAAAGUGGACGUAUACGGUGUGACGCCUGCCCGGUGCCGGAAGGUUAAUUGAUGGGGUCAGCGCAAGCGAAGCUCCUGAUCGAAGCCCCGGUAAACGGCGGCCGUAACUAUAACGGUCCUAAGGUAGCGAAAUUCCUUGUCGGGUAAGUUCCGACCUGCACGAAUGGCGUAAUGAUGGCCAGGCUGUCUCCACCCGAGACUCAGUGAAAUUGAACUCGCUGUGAAGAUGCAGUGUACCCGCGGCAAGACGGAAAGACCCCGUGAACCUUUACUAUAGCUUGACACUGAACAUUGAGCCUUGAUGUGUAGGAUAGGUGGGAGGCUUUGAAGCGUGGACGCCAGUCUGCGUGGAGCCGACCUUGAAAUACCACCCUUUAAUGUUU
RNAcentral lists this ribosomal RNA (1297 nucleotides) under Salmonella enterica. RNAcentral describes it as "partial 23S ribosomal RNA". It matches the Rfam family "Bacterial large subunit ribosomal RNA", at positions 937 to 2215 of the family's 2925-position model. Lineage: Bacteria; Pseudomonadati; Pseudomonadota; Gammaproteobacteria; Enterobacterales; Enterobacteriaceae. The record is from RNAcentral.